Sitophilus oryzae (rice weevil) is the source of this 1525-nucleotide long non-coding RNA. RefSeq lists it as uncharacterized. NCBI's taxonomy places the organism in Eukaryota, Metazoa, Arthropoda, Insecta, Coleoptera, Curculionidae. The transcript is spliced from 7 exons. The record is from RefSeq and is a predicted model, not a curated record.
GGCAGAAACACAGGCCCCACAAGAUAUUGAGACCGAAGAACAAACGCAUCAUGAAGAAAUGCAGUACUCUUGUAACGCGCUGAUUUACAUGGCGCUAAAAAAUAGUGUUCAUGGGAAAUUAUUGUUGAACGAAAUAUACAAUUAUAUUUCCAAAAACCAUCCAUCCCAUGAACAAAAUCAUUCCAACUGGAAGAACAGUAUUCGCCAUUGUUUGAGCACGUCAAACUAUUUUUGUCAAGAACAUCGUCCAGCUUACGAGCCUGGUAAGGGUAACUACUGGAAAUUGAGCCCAGAAGGAAAUUGUAUGGUGUUGGGAGGGAACACUGGCAGAUUAAGAAGAGGAAAUAACCUUGCAUCUGCAGCUAUGCCAGUGAUGCACCAUAAUAGUCCAAUAAUGUGUCACUGUGUGAACACUGCACCAGCUUUCCCAAAUUGUCCUCCAACUUAUAUGCCAGUUGUUUAUCAUCCCAUUCCCCAGCAUUUCUAUGGAUCGUAUUAGUUUCAAAAUUGGUGAACUUGUUCCAGUCAGAUAAACCAUGUAUUAUAACUUGUAAAUAUUGUAAAUUGUGUUGUAUGUGUCCAAGUAUAAAUAUUCAAUAAGAACUUUCGAAAAAUACUGUAAAAAGUACAACAGACAAUCAAGUGUAGAAAUUGUGAAUUAUUGUAUAUACAUUAAAUAUAAUAUGAUUCAGACCAGUGGCAAAUAAUACAAGAACUAUAAUUGCUAGAUUAUUCACUAAGGAAAUUUGGAAAUAUUACCCCCGGUUAUUAAACGAUCUAAAUCACUCAAGGACUAUAAUUAGUAGAUUUUUCACUAAGGAAAUUUAGAAAUAUUACCCCAGGUUUUUAAAUGAUCUAAAUCACUUGAGAAAUAAAGAAAUGAUGGCUCAUAUUGGAUAAAGAAGCUAGGAAAAAAAAGUAAAUCGAAAAUGUUGGCUCCUUUGGAAAGUUAUUACUCAGUCUGAUAUAUCAAUUAAUUUGUCAACGUUUCCCCUGCAAACCAAACAAUAAUCAACACUCCUACAGGGUAUUCUGCCAUCCAAAUUAAGCACAUAUCACUUGUAGUUACAUUACCUAAACCUAAGUAUAAUAUCAUUCAGACAGUAACAAAUCAUACAAGGACUAUAAUUAGUAGAUUUUUCACUAAGUAAAUUUAGGAAUAUUACCCCAGGUUAUUAAAUGAUCUGAAUCACUUGAGAAAUAAAGAAAUGAUGGCUCUUUUGGAAAGUUAUUACUCAGCCUGAUAUAUUAAUUAAUUUGUCAAAGUUUCCCCUGCAAACCAAACAAUAAUCAGAACUCCUACAGGGUAUUCGGCCAUCCAAAUUUAGCACAUAUCACUUGUAGAUACAUUACCUAAACCUAAGUAUAAUAUCAUUCAGACAGUAACAAAUCAUAAAAGGACUAUAAUUAGUAGAUUUUUCACUAAGGAAAUUUAGAAAUAUUACCCCAGGUUAUUAAAUGAUCUAAAUCACUUGAGAAAUAAAGAAAUGAUGGCUCAUAUUGGAUAAAGAAGAUAGGAAAAAAA